GAGGGGAUAGCUCACGUGGUAGAGUGCAUGCUUCCCAUGCACAAGGUCCUGGGUUCAAUCCCCAGUACCUCCU
Transfer RNA from Camelus ferus (Wild Bactrian camel), 73 nucleotides. It matches the Rfam family "tRNA". From Rfam's summary of the family: Transfer RNA (tRNA) molecules are approximately 80 nucleotides in length. Their secondary structure includes four short double-helical elements and three loops (D, anti-codon, and T loops). Lineage: Eukaryota; Metazoa; Chordata; Mammalia; Artiodactyla; Camelidae. The record is from Rfam.